UACGUAGGGUGCGAGCGUUGUCCGGAAUUAUUGGGCGUAAAGGGUGUGUAGGCGGUUCUUUAAGUUUGGUGUGAAAUCUCCCGGCUCAACCGGGAGGGUGCGCCGAAUACUGAGGGACUAGAGUGCGGGAGAGGAAAGUGGAAUUCCUGGUGUAGCGGUGAAAUGCGUAGAUAUCAGGAGGAACACCGGUGGUGUAGACGGCUUUCUGGACCGUAACUGACGCUGAGACACGAAAGCGUGGGUAGCAAACAGG
RNAcentral lists this ribosomal RNA (253 nucleotides) under uncultured bacterium. Its description in RNAcentral is "partial 16S ribosomal RNA". It matches the Rfam family "Bacterial small subunit ribosomal RNA", at positions 524 to 776 of the family's 1533-position model. The record is from RNAcentral.